Molecule: ribosomal RNA, 250 nt
Filed under: uncultured bacterium
Lineage: Bacteria
Description: partial 16S ribosomal RNA
Rfam family: Bacterial small subunit ribosomal RNA
Source: RNAcentral
CGGGUGAGUAACGCGUAUGCAACCUACCAUCAACAGGGGGAUAACACUGAGAAAUUGGUACUAAUACCCCAUAAUAUCUCAUGCAGCAUCGCAUGGGGUUGAAAACUCCGGUGGUUGAUGAUGGGCAUGCGUUGUAUUAGCUGGUUGGUGAGGUAACGGACCACCAAGACGACGAUGCGUAGGGGUUCUGAGAGGAAGGUCCCCCACACUGGUACUGAGACACGGACCAGACUCCUACGGAAGGCAGCAG